UACGUAGGGGGCAAGCGUUGUCCGGAUUUAUUGGGCGUAAAGAGCGUGUAGGCGGUUUGGUAGGUCCGCUGUGAAAACUCGAGGCUCAACCUCGAGACGCCGGUGGAAACCAUCAGACUAGAGUCCGGAAGAGGAGAGUGGAAUUCCUGGUGUAGCGGUGAAAUGCGCAGAUAUCAGGAAGAACACCCGUGGCUAAGGCGGCUCUCUAGUACGGUACUGACGCUGAGGUGCGAAAGCGUGGGGAGCAAACAGG
This 253-nucleotide ribosomal RNA is filed under the name uncultured bacterium. Its description in RNAcentral is "partial 16S ribosomal RNA". It matches the Rfam family "Bacterial small subunit ribosomal RNA", at positions 524 to 776 of the family's 1533-position model. The record is from RNAcentral.